This 3402-nucleotide long non-coding RNA is filed under the name Brassica napus (rape). RNAcentral describes it as "long non-coding RNA (BNAP_LNC002103)". Lineage: Eukaryota; Viridiplantae; Streptophyta; Magnoliopsida; Brassicales; Brassicaceae. The record is from RNAcentral.
GCCAGGGCUGCGUCCUAACCGGCGUCUGGGUCAUAGCCCACGAGUGCGGCCACCACGCCUUCAGCGACUACCAGUGGCUGGACGACACCGUCGGCCUCAUCUUCCACUCCUUCCUCCUCGUCCCUUACUUCUCCUGGAAGUACAGUCAUCGACGCCACCAUUCCAACACUGGCUCCCUCGAGAGAGACGAAGUGUUUGUCCCCAAGAAGAAGUCAGACAUCAAGUGGUACGGCAAGUACCUCAACAACCCUUUGGGACGCACCGUGAUGUUAACGGUUCAGUUCACUCUCGGCUGGCCUUUGUACUUAGCCUUCAACGUCUCGGGGAGACCUUACGACGGCGGCUUCGCUUGCCAUUUCCACCCCAACGCUCCCAUCUACAACGACCGUGAGCGUCUCCAGAUAUACAUCUCCGACGCUGGCAUCCUCGCCGUCUGCUACGGUCUCUACCGCUACGCUGCUGUCCAAGGAGUUGCCUCGAUGGUCUGCUUCUACGGAGUUCCUCUUCUGAUUGUCAACGGGUUCUUAGUUUUGAUCACUUACUUGCAGCACACGCAUCCUUCCCUGCCUCACUAUGACUCGUCUGAGUGGGAUUGGUUGAGGGGAGCUUUGGCCACCGUUGACAGAGACUACGGAAUCUUGAACAAGGUCUUCCACAAUAUCACGGACACGCACGUGGCGCAUCACCUGUUCUCGACCAUGCCGCAUUAUCAUGCGAUGGAAGCUACGAAGGCGAUAAAGCCGAUACUGGGAGAGUAUUAUCAGUUCGAUGGGACGCCGGUGGUUAAGGCGAUGUGGAGGGAGGCGAAGGAGUGUAUCUAUGUGGAACCGGACAGGCAAGGUGAGAAGAAAGGUGUGUUCUGGUACAACAAUAAGUUAUGAAGCAAAGAAGAAACUGAACCUUUCUCUUCUAUGAUUGUCUUUGUUUAAGAAGCUAUGUUUCUGUUUCAAUAAUCUUAAUUAUCCAUUUUGUUGUGUUUUCUGACAUUUUGGCUAAAAUUAUGUGAUGUUGGAAGUUAGUGUCUAAAAUGUCUUGUGUCUGUAUUGUUCUUCUUCUCAUCGCUGUUAUGUUUGGGAUCGUUGAAAUGUGACUUUCGGACUAGUGAACUCUUGUUCUCGAACUAUCUUAAUGUGGAUCCCUGAACAGUGUAAUGGCUUAGCUUCCUCUGAAACUACUAUUAUGUUCUAGUGAAUCUUGACAUAAAGCAACUUGUCGUUUCAAGACAUACCAAUGCUUUAAGAAAAAUGUUUUACUCACCUGAAGUGAACCAUAAAUCUAAUCUUCGUUACAGUUAAGUUAGUUUGAGUUAUUGCGUUGUUUGGUUGGCAGAUCACCUUUACUACUUAUGUGGUUCAGUCUCUUUGUAAAAAACUCUAUUCUUCUCUUUUAAUUUGUAGAAACCUGUCAACGUAAGCCAAAUUCAUUUCUUCAUCUUUAUUUGCUUUCAGAUUUGUGAGGGAACAAAAGAAAUUAAGACAAAUAAAUCUUUUUUUUUCUCAUUAAUGGCAGAAACAACCAAAGAGAGUGUGACAACAAGAAACAAUUGUAGUGAGGAAAAACCAAAGAAAAAAAUUGUCUGAAACCAACUCGUUGAACAUAUAAAAUAAUACGAAACAAUCUUUCAUCCAACGGCGAGCGUAAUCUUAGAAGCAUUUCCUGUGGACUAUCGAUGGCCCUGCCUCAUCAUACUCAGCUUUUGCUAUCCACAUCUGCAAUACCAACAUUGUGUAUCAUAGUCAGCUUACAAAACGAGUAACAAGCAGAAAAGAUGAUUUACCUGUUGGAAGGUACUAAGUGAUGCUAGAAUGGAUCCUCCAAUCCAAACACUAUACUUCCUCUCCGGUGGAGCAACCACCUUAAUCUUCAUGCUACUCGGAGCCAAAGCAGUGAUCUCCUUACUCAUCCUAUCAGCAAUCCCAGGGAACAUCGUGGUUCCACCACUAAGCACAAUGUUUCCAUACAAAUCUUUCCUAAUAUCGACAUCACACUUCAUGAUCGAAUUGUAAGUUGUCUCGUGAAUACCAGCAGCUUCCAUUCCGACCAAAGACGGCUGGAAAAGAACCUCAGGGCACCUGAACCUCUCCCCUCCAAUAGUGAUCACCUGUCCAUCAGGCAACUCGUAGCUCUUGUCGACCGAUGAGCUAGUGUUCGCCGUCUCCAUCUCUUGCUCGUAGUCAAGUGCUAUGUAAGCGAGCUUCUCUUUCACGUCUCUCACGAUCUCACGCUCUGCUGUGGUGGUGAAUGAGUAACCACGUUCGGUUAAGAUCUUCAUGAGGUAAUCAGUGAGGUCACGACCUGCGAGAUCAAGACGCAGAAUGGCGUGUGGGAGAGCAUAUCCUUCGUAGAUUGGAACAGUGUGACUCACACCAUCUCCAGAAUCCAACACAAUGCCUGAAACAAUGAUUCCACAUCACUAUGAAAGUGUUCUACCUUUAUAAACUGUCUAGAUAAUUAUAAUAUAAUAAUAAUUUAUAAUUUAUAAUAAUUAAUAUUUUUUAGUAUAAAAUCUUAUGAGAAUAAACAAUAUAAAUAUUAUUAUUUGUAAAUCAUGGUAUUUAUUAUAUUAUAUAUUUUUCCAACCACUAAACUCUUAUAAUACAUCAAUACUAUUAAAACUGAAGGGCCUUUUUUGAGGUAUCCUUGGAGUUUUAAAGUAUUUACCAUUCUAUGCCACUGAAUUAUUUUUAAACUAUGAUUUCAAUUAAAUUCUUUUAUUUUUUGUUUUGAAAUCGCAACAAACCAUCUCCUAAUUCCGUGUAUUUUGCAAUCCCACCGCACUGUUUCAAACGCUCGAUCCCUCGCUCUUUCUCCUACCUCAUCUGGGACAUCAUCAUAGCCUCCUGCUUCUACUACGUCGCCACCACUUACUUCCCUCUCCUCCCUCACCCUCUCUCCUACUUCGCCUGGCCUCUCUACUGGGCCUGCCAGGGCUGCGUCCUAACCGGCGUCUGGGUCAUAGCCCACGAGUGCGGCCACCACGCCUUCAGCGACUACCAGUGGCUGGACGACACCGUCGGCCUCAUCUUCCACUCCUUCCUCCUCGUCCCUUACUUCUCCUGGAAGUACAGUCAUCGACGCCACCAUUCCAACACUGGCUCCCUCGAGAGAGACGAAGUGUUUGUCCCCAAGAAGAAGUCAGACAUCAAGUGGUACGGCAAGUACCUCAACAACCCUUUGGGACGCACCGUGAUGUUAACGGUUCAGUUCACUCUCGGCUGGCCUUUGUACUUAGCCUUCAACGUCUCGGGGAGACCUUACGACGGCGGCUUCGCUUGCCAUUUCCACCCCAACGCUCCCAUCUACAACGACCGUGAGCGUCUCCAGAUAUACAUCUCCGACGCUGGCAUCCUCGCCGUCUGCUACGGUCUCUACCGCUACGCUGCUGUCCAAGGAGUUGCCUCG